Molecule: ribosomal RNA, 888 nt
Filed under: Calonectria multiphialidica
Lineage: Eukaryota; Fungi; Ascomycota; Sordariomycetes; Hypocreales; Nectriaceae
Description: eukaryotic LSU rRNA
Rfam family: Eukaryotic large subunit ribosomal RNA
Source: RNAcentral
AAAGAAACCAACAGGGAUUGCCCUAGUAACGGCGAGUGAAGCGGCAACAGCUCAAAUUUGAAAUCUGGCCCUCGGGUCCGAGUUGUAAUUUGUAGAGGAUGCUUUUGGUGAGGUACCUUCCGAGUUCCCUGGAACGGGACGCCAUAGAGGGUGAGAGCCCCGUCUGGUUGGAUACCGAGCCUCUGUAAAGCUCCUUCGACGAGUCGAGUAGUUUGGGAAUGCUGCUCUAAAUGGGAGGUAUAUGUCUUCUAAAGCUAAAUACCGGCCAGAGACCGAUAGCGCACAAGUAGAGUGAUCGAAAGAUGAAAAGCACUUUGAAAAGAGAGUUAAAAAGUACGUGAAAUUGUUGAAAGGGAAGCGCUUAUGACCAGACUUGGGCUUGGUUGAUCAUCCUGGGUUCUCCCUGGUGCACUCUUCCAGUUCAGGCCAGCAUCAGUUCGCUGCGGGGGAUAAAAGUUUUGGGAAUGUGGCUCCCUCGGGAGUGUUAUAGCCCAUUGCAUAAUACCCUGCUCCGGACUGAGGUUCGCGCAUCUGCAAGGAUGCUGGCGUAAUGGUCAUCAGCGACCCGUCUUGAAACACGGACCAAGGAGUCGUCUUCGUAUGCGAGUGUUCGGGUGUUAAACCCCUACGCGUAAUGAAAGUGAACGCAGGUGAGAGCUUCGGCGCAUCAUCGACCGAUCCUGAUGUUCUCGGAUGGAUUUGAGUAAGAGCAUACGGGGCCGGACCCGAAAGAAGGUGAACUAUGCCUGUAUAGGGUGAAGCCAGAGGAAACUCUGGUGGAGGCUCGCAGCGGUUCUGACGUGCAAAUCGAUCGUCAAAUAUGGGCAUGGGGGCGAAAGACUAAUCGAACCUUCUAGUAGCUGGUUUCCGCCGAAGUUUCCCUCAGGA